RNAcentral lists this ribosomal RNA (497 nucleotides) under uncultured bacterium. Its description in RNAcentral is "partial 16S ribosomal RNA". It matches the Rfam family "Bacterial small subunit ribosomal RNA", at positions 28 to 507 of the family's 1533-position model. The record is from RNAcentral.
GAUGAACGCUGGCGGCGUGCCUAAUACAUGCAAGUCGAGCGAACAGACGAGGAGUUUGUUCCGCUGACGUUAUCGGCGGACGGGGGAGUAACACGUGGAUAACCUACCUAUAGGACUGGGAUAACUUCUGGAAACCGGAGCUAAUACCGGAUAAUAUAUUGAACCGCAUGGUUCAAUAGGGAAAGACGGACUUGCUGUCACUGAUAGAUGGAUCCGAGCCGCAUUAGCUAGUUGGUAAGGUAACGGUUUACCAAGGCCACGACGCGUAGCCGACCUGAGGGGGUGAUCGGCCACACUGGAACUGAGACACGGUCCAGACUCCUACGGGAGGCAGCAGUAGGGAAUCUUCCGCAAUGGGCGAAAGCCUGACGGUGCAACGCCGCGUGAGUGAUGAAGGUCUUCGGAUCGUAAAACUCUGUUAUUAGGGAAGAAGAAAUGUGUAAGUAACUAUGCACGUCUUGACGGUACCUAAUCAGAAAGCCACGGCUAACUACGUG